RNAcentral lists this ribosomal RNA (465 nucleotides) under uncultured bacterium. RNAcentral describes it as "partial 16S ribosomal RNA". It matches the Rfam family "Bacterial small subunit ribosomal RNA", at positions 338 to 795 of the family's 1533-position model. The record is from RNAcentral.
CCUACGGGAGGCAGCAGUGGGGAAUAUUGCGCAAUGGGCGAAAGCCUGACGCAGCGACGCCGCGUGAGGGAUGAAGGUCUUCGGAUCGUAAACCUCUGUCAACAGGGAAGAACGGUCACUGUGCUAAUCAGCAGUGAAUUGACGGUACCUGCAAAAGAAGCACCCGCUAACUCGGUGCCAGCAGCCGCGGUAAUACGGAGGGUGCGAGCUUUAAUCGGAAUUACUGGGCGUAAAGCGCUCGUAGGCGGUAUGUCAAGUCAAGGGUGAACUCCCCGGGCUAAACGUGGGAACUGCCUUUGAAACUGGCAAACUGGAGUGUGUGAGAGGAUAGUGGAAUGCCAGGUGUAGGAGUGAAAGCCGUAGAUAUCUGGAGGAACAUCAGUGGCGAAGGCGACUAUCUGGCACAUAACUGACGCUGAGGAGCGAAAGCGUGGGUAGCAAACAGGAUUAGAUACCCCUGUAGUC